This 254-nucleotide ribosomal RNA is filed under the name uncultured bacterium. RNAcentral describes it as "partial 16S ribosomal RNA". It matches the Rfam family "Bacterial small subunit ribosomal RNA", at positions 524 to 776 of the family's 1533-position model. The record is from RNAcentral.
UACGAAGGGUGCAAGCGUUACUCGGAAUUACUGGGCGUAAAGCGUGCGUAGGUGGUUUGUUAAGUCUGAUGUGAAAGCCCUGGGCUCAACCUGGGAAUUGCAUUGGAUACUGGCAGGCUAGAGUGCGGUAGAGGAUGGCGGAAUUCCCGGUGUAGCAGUGAAAUGCGUUGAUAUCGUUCGGAACACCGAAAGCGAAGGCAGAGCACUGGGUGCCACCUGACACUGCUAGGACGAAAGCGUGGGGAGCGAAUGGG